This 392-nucleotide ribosomal RNA is filed under the name uncultured bacterium. RNAcentral describes it as "partial 16S ribosomal RNA". It matches the Rfam family "Bacterial small subunit ribosomal RNA", at positions 523 to 918 of the family's 1533-position model. The record is from RNAcentral.
AUACGGAGGAUCCGAGCGUUAUCCGGAUUUAUUGGGUUUAAAGGGUGCGCAGGCGGCCAUUUAAGUCAGCGGUUAAAUCGUGGGGCUCAACCCCAUUCUGCCGUUGAUACUGGGUGGCUUGAUUGCGGUCGAGGUUGGCGGAAUUCGUUGUGUAGCGGUGAAAUGCAUAGAUAUGACGAAGAACACCGAUUGCGUAGGCAGCUGACCAGACCGCAAAUGACGCUCAUGCACGAAAGUGCGGGGAUCGAACAGGAUUAGAUACCCUGGUAGUCCGCACAGUAAACGAUGAAUACUCGCUGUUUGCGAUAUACAGCAAGCGGCCAAGCGAAAGCGUUAAGUAUUCCACCUGGGGAGUACGCCGGCAACGGUGAAACUCAAAGGAAUUGACGGGG